Molecule: ribosomal RNA, 497 nt
Filed under: uncultured bacterium
Lineage: Bacteria
Description: partial 16S ribosomal RNA
Rfam family: Bacterial small subunit ribosomal RNA
Source: RNAcentral
GAUGAACGCUGGCGGCGUGCCUAAUACAUGCAAGUCGAGCGAACGGACGAGAAGCUUGCUUCUCUGAUGUUAGCCGCGGACGGGUGAGUCACACGUGGAUAACCUACCUAUAAGACUGGGAUAACUUCGGGAAACCGGAGCUAAUACCGGAUAAUCUUUUGAACCGCAUUGUUCAAAAGUGAAAGACGGUGUUGCUGUCACUUAUAGAUGGAUCCGCGCUGCAUUAGCUAGUUGUUAAGGUAACGGCUUACCAAGGCAACGAUGCAUAGCCGACCUGAGAGGGAGGUCGGCCACACUGGAACUGAGACGGGGUCCAGACUCCUGCGGGAGGCAGCAGUAGGGAAUCUUACGCAAUGGUCGAAAGCCUGACGGAGCAACGCCGAGUGAGUGAUGAAGGUCUUCGGAUCGUAAAGCUCUGUUAUUAGGGAAGAACAUAUGUGUAAUUAACUGUGGAGAGCUUGACGGUACCUAAUCAGAAAGCCACGGCUAACUACGUG